UUAUGGUGAUGUGAUAGUGAAUGGUUGUAUGGUAUCUAUAUCAGGUUAUGGUGAUGUGAUAGUGAAUGGUUGUGUGGUAUCUAUAUCAGGUUAUGGUGAUGUGAUAGUGAAUGGUUGUGUGGUAUCUAUAUCAGGUUAUGGUGAUGUGAUAGUGAAUGGUUGUGUGGUAUCUAUAUCAGGUUAUAGUGAUAGUGAAUGGUUGUGUGGUAUCUAUAUCAGGUUAUGUGAUAGUGAAUGGUUGUAUGGUAUCUAUAUCAGGUUAUGGUGAUGUGAUAGUGAAUGGUUGUGUGGUAUCUAUAUCAGGUUAUGGUGAUGUGAUAGUGAAUGGUUGUGUGGUAUCUAUAUCAGGUUAUGGUGAUGUGAUAGUGAAUGGUUGUAUGGUAUCUAUAUCAGGUUAUGUGAUAGUGAAUGGUUGUGUGGUAUCUAUAUCAGGUUAUGGUGAUGUGAUAGUGAAUGGUUGUGUGGUAUCUAUAUCAGGUUAUGGUGAUAGUGAAUGGUUGUGUGGUAUCUAUAUCAGGUUAUGGUGAUAGUGAAUGGUUGUAUGGUAUCUAUAUCAGGUUAUAGUGAUAGUGAAUGGUUGUGUGGUAUCUAUAUCAGGUUAUGGUGAUAGUGAAUGGUUGUGUGGUAUCUAUAUCAGGUUAUGGUGAUAGUGAAUGGUUGUAUGGUAUCUAUAUCAGGUUAUGGUGAUGUGAUAGUGAAUGGUUGUGUGGUAUCUAUAUCAGGUUAUGGUGAUGUGAUAGUGAAUGGUUGUAUGGUAUCUAUAUCAGGUUAUGGUGAUGUGAUAGUGAAUGGUUGUAUGGUAUCUAUAUCAGGUUAUAGUGAUAGUGAAUGGUUGUGUGGUAUCUAUAUCAGGUUAUGGUGAUGUGAUAGUGAAUGGUUGUGUGGUAUCUAUAUCAGGUUAUGGUGAUAGUGAAUGGUUGUAUGGUAUCUAUAUCAGGUUAUAGUGAUGUGAUAGUGAAUGGUUGUGUGGUAUCCAUAUCAGGUUAUGUGAUAGUGAAUGGUUGUGUGGUAUCUAUAUCAGGUUAUAGUGAUGUGAUAGUGAAUGGUUGUGUGGUAUCUAUAUCAGGUUAUAGUGAUAGUGAAUGGUUGUGUGGUAUCUAUAUCAGGUUAUAGUGAUAGUGAAUGGUUGUGUGGUAUCUAUAUCAGGUUAUAGUGAUAGUGAAUGGUUGUAUGGUAUCUAUAUCAGGUUAUGGUGAUGUGAUAGUGAAUGGUUGUAUGGUAUCUAUAUCAGGUUAUGGUGAUGUGAUAGUGAAUGGUUGUAUGGUAUCUAUAUCAGGUUAUGGUGAUGUGAUAGUGAAUGGUUGUGUGGUAUCUAUAUCAGGUUAUGGUGAUGUGAUAGUGAAUGGUUGUGUGGUAUCUAUAUCAGGUUAUGUGAUAGUGAAUGGUUGUAUGGUAUCUAUAUCAGGUUAUGGUGAUGUGAUAGUGAAUGGUUGUAUGGUAUCUAUAUCAGGUUAUGGUGAUGUGAUAGUGAAUGGUUGUGUGGUAUCUAUAUCAGGUUAUGGUGAUGUGAUAGUGAAUGGUUGUGUGGUAUCGAUAUCAGGUUAUAGUGAUAGUGAAUGGUUGUGUGGUAUCUAUAUCAGGUUAUGGUGAUGUGAUAGUGAAUGGUUGUGUGGUAUCUAUAUCAGGUUAUGGUGAUGUGAUAGUGAAUGGUUGUGUGGUAUCUAUAUCAGGUUAUGGUGAUGUGAUAGUGAAUGGUUGUGUGGUAUCUAUAUCAGGUUAUGGUGAUGUGAUAGUGAAUGGUUGUGUGGUAUCUAUAUCAGGUUAUGGUGAUAGUGAAUGGUUGUAUGGUAUCUAUAUCAGGUUAUGGUGAUGUGAUAGUGAAUGGUUGUGUGGUAUCUAUAUCGGGUUAUGUGAUAGUGAAUGGUUGUAUGGUAUCUAUAUCAGGUUAUGGUGAUGUGAUAGUGAAUGGUUGUGUGGUAUCUAUAUCAGGUUAUGGUGAUGUGAUAGUGAAUGGUUGUGUGGUAUCUAUAUCAGGUUAUGGUGAUGUGAUAGUGAAUGGUUGUGUGGUAUCUAUAUCAGGUUAUGGUGAUGUGAUAGUGAAUGGUUGUGUGGUAUCUAUAUCAGGUUAUGGUGAUAGUGAAUGGUUGUAUGGUAUCUAUAUCAGGUUAUGUGAUAGUGAAUGGUUGUAUGGUAUCUAUAUCAGGUUAUGGUGAUGUGAUAGUGAAUGGUUGUGUGGUAUCUAUAUCAGGUUAUGGUGAUGUGAUAGUGAAUGGUUGUGUGGUAUCUAUAUCAGGUUAUGGUGAUAGUGAAUGGUUGUAUGGUAUCUAUAUCAGGUGAUGUGAUAGUGAAUGGUUGUGUGGUAUCUAUAUCAGGUUAUAGUGAUGUGAUAGUGAAUGGUUGUGUGGUAUCUAUAUCAGGUUAUGGUGAUGUGAUAGUGAAUGGUUGUGUGGUAUCUAUAUCAGGUUAUAGUGAUAGUGAAUGGUUGUAUGGUAUCUAUAUCAGGUUAUGGUGAUGUGAUAGUGAAUGGUUGUGUGGUAUCUAUAUCAGGUUAUAGUGAUAGUGAAUGGUUGUGUGGUAUCUAUAUCAGGUUAUGGUGAUGUGAUAGUGAAUGGUUGUGUGGUAUCUAUAUCAGGUUAUGGUGAUGUGAUAGUGAAUGGUUGUGUGGUAUCUAUAUCAGGUGAUAGUGAUAGUGAAUGGUUGUGUGGUAUCUAUAUCAGGUUAUGGUGAUAGUGAAUGGU
Salvelinus fontinalis (brook trout) is the source of this 2678-nucleotide long non-coding RNA. RefSeq lists it as uncharacterized. The transcript is spliced from 4 exons. Lineage: Eukaryota; Metazoa; Chordata; Actinopteri; Salmoniformes; Salmonidae. The record is from RefSeq and is a predicted model, not a curated record.